RNAcentral lists this long non-coding RNA (462 nucleotides) under Mus pahari (shrew mouse). RNAcentral's name for it is "predicted gene 12594 (MGP_PahariEiJ_G0033053.1)". Lineage: Eukaryota; Metazoa; Chordata; Mammalia; Rodentia; Muridae. The record is from RNAcentral.
UUCAGCGGGGACUGUCCAUCAUGGUGGAGACUGGAACAGCUUGGUCUGUGGCAGUGAGAGCUUGCAUUGUAGCUUGUUCACACCUUGGCUGAUCAGGAAAAAGAGGGACAAACUCAGAAGCAGGAUCUCCUGACUGGGAGGGGAGAAGCAGCCUCAUGUUCUUGGCCACAUCCAUCAAGAGUGGAGAUCUAGUUUUAGACACUGGAGAAAGAGAGAAGGUAGGAAGCAUGUCCUGGUUUUUGUAAAAAAAUAAAAGUUAGUAGAUUUGCAUAAAUAGAUAUUUCUUUAUUUUCUAGUAUUCUUAGCACAAUUUCCAGACACUUACCAACAGCUGAGUUAAAAAUAGUAUUCAGCAGUUUUGGGUACCCUUGGAGAGUAGGGACAUGAACCAAUUCACAUCGGUGGUCGGGAAGUGGGAUACUAGUUUUUAUAAGUAGCUUGGACAGAUGACUGACAAAGUUU